Molecule: long non-coding RNA, 360 nt
Filed under: Mytilus galloprovincialis (Mediterranean mussel)
Lineage: Eukaryota; Metazoa; Mollusca; Bivalvia; Mytilida; Mytilidae
Source: RNAcentral
UGUGCGUAUUGUUAUGCGUUUACUUUACUACAUUGGUUAGAGGUAUAGGGGGAGGGUUGAGAUCUCACAAACAUGUUUAACCCCGCCGCAUUUUUGCGCCUGUCCCAAGUCAGGAGCCUCUGGCCUUUGUUAGUCUUGUAUUAUUUUAAUUUUAGUUUCUUGUGUACAAUUUGGAAAUUAGUAUGGCGUUCAUUAUCACUGGACUAGUAUAUAUUUGUUUAGGGGCCAGCUGAAGGACGCCUCCGGGUGCGGGAAUUUCUCGCUACAUUGACGACCUGUUGGUGACCCUCUGCUGUUGUUUUUUAUUUGGUCGGGUUGUUGUCUCUUUGACACAUUCCCCAUUUCCAUUCUCAAUUUUAU